RNAcentral lists this ribosomal RNA (265 nucleotides) under uncultured Streptococcaceae bacterium. RNAcentral describes it as "partial 16S ribosomal RNA". It matches the Rfam family "Bacterial small subunit ribosomal RNA", at positions 505 to 770 of the family's 1533-position model. Lineage: Bacteria; Bacillati; Bacillota; Bacilli; Lactobacillales; Streptococcaceae. The record is from RNAcentral.
GUGCCAGCAGCCGCGGUAAUACGUAGGUUCCGAGCGUUGUCCGGAUUUAUUGGGCGUAAAGCGAGCGCAGGCGGUUAGAUAAGUCUGAAGUUAAAGGCUGUGGCUUAACCAUAGUACGCUUUGGAAACUGUUUAACUUGAGUGCAAGAGGGGAGAGUGGAAUUCCAUGUGUAGCGGUGAAAUGCGUAGAUAUAUGGAGGAACACCGGUGGCGAAAGCGGCUCUCUGGCUUGUAACUGACGCUGAGGCUCGAAAGCGUGGGGAGCA